Mercenaria mercenaria is the source of this 72-nucleotide non-coding RNA. NCBI's taxonomy places the organism in Eukaryota, Metazoa, Mollusca, Bivalvia, Venerida, Veneridae. The record is from the annotation of a RefSeq genome assembly.
GGGGAUAUAGCUCAGUGGUAGAGCAUUCGAUUGCAAUUCGACAGGCCCCCGGUUCAAAUCCGGGUGUCCCCU